Molecule: microRNA, 22 nt
Filed under: Anolis carolinensis (green anole)
Lineage: Eukaryota; Metazoa; Chordata; Lepidosauria; Squamata; Anolidae
Also listed under: 2 other names
Description: Aca-Mir-15-P1b_3p* (star (passenger))
Source: RNAcentral
CAAGUCAUUAUUUGCUGCUUUA